RNAcentral lists this ribosomal RNA (497 nucleotides) under uncultured bacterium. RNAcentral describes it as "partial 16S ribosomal RNA". It matches the Rfam family "Bacterial small subunit ribosomal RNA", at positions 28 to 507 of the family's 1533-position model. The record is from RNAcentral.
GAUGAACGCUGGCGGCGUGCCUAAUACAUGCAAGUCGAGCGAACAGAUAAGGAGCUUGCUCCUUUGACGUUAGCGGCGGACGGGUGAGUAACACGUGGAUAACCUACCUAUAAGACUGGGAUAACUUCGGGAAACCGGAGCUAAUACCGGAUAACAUAUUGAACCGCAUGGUUCAAUAGUGAAAGGCGGCUUUGCUGUCACUUAUAGAUGGAUCCGCGCCGGAUUAGCUAGUUGGUAAGGUAACGGCUUACCAAGGCAACGAUACGUAGCCGACCUGAGAGGGUGAUCGGCCACACUGGAACUGAGACACGGUCCAGACUCCUACGGGAGGCAGCAGUAGGGAAUCUUCCGCAAUGGGCGAAAGCCUGACGGAGCAACGCCGCGUGAGUGAUGAAGGUCUUCGGAUCGUAAAACUCUGUUAUCAGGGAAGAACAAAUGUGUAAGUAACUGUGCACAUCUUGACGGUACCUGAUCAGAAAGCCACGGCUAACUACGUG